GGGGAUGCUGAUGUUGAAAGAACUAAGCAAAGUAGAGUUAUUAAUGAGGCUGCAAAGGCAAGUAAGUUCAGUAGCGACGGCUUGUCUGAGAGGGUCACAGCAAUCGCCUUGCAGUUGGAGAGUGGCGUUGUUGAAGUAAGGAGCACAAGACAUCAAGCUCUGCAAACAAGUCGGAUCCGCAACCGUAACUGUCGCUAUCUUCGUCCCCAAUAUCACAAGGACCACCAUCAUCAACAUCUUUUGAGCCAUUGCGUUUUUCUCAAUUACUCUAAUUUCACUCUGCGUGUAGAUGUUUUUCUUCUUCUGCCCAGCCCUCUCCUGGCCGCUCUGCCAUUGCUUCUUAUAUACUAAUUUCUUUGGAGUCACUUGGUCAGAGUUUAAAACAAGCAUUUGGUUCAAUACGGACAUAUUAUUUUUUGGGUAAACUACAAAAAUAGUCACUUUUGUUUGCCUCAAAUUACAUAUUAGUCACUUAUGUUUAAAAUGUUACGUUUUAGUCACUUACAUUGUUGUUUUGUUACAAAGUGGUCACUCUACCAUUUAGCUCUAUUACCUCCCUAACGGUGAUCCUACGUGGUAGUCCAAAUGGGUUUUAAAUGCCAACGUGGAUGUCCUACAUGGUAGUCCAAAUUAAAUUUAUUUAAUUAAAAACCUAUUUUUAUCCUAGCAACUAGACAUCCAAGUUGGCAUUUAAAAUCUAUUUAGACUGCCACAUAGGACUGCCGUUAGAGAGGUAACGAAUUUUGACGGUGGAGUGACCACUUCGUAACAAAACAAUAACAUAAGUGACUAAAACAUAACAUUUCAAACAUAAGUGACUAAUAUGUAAUUUAAGGCAAACAAAAAUGAUCAUUUUUAUAGUUUUUUUUAGAAUAGAAUAGAAAACAGUGCAAAGAACAAAUAUGAGCUGAAAAGGAGCGUUGGAGUCUGGAGAAGGUGAUAAUGAUGAAUAGAUUUGACGGAGGAUGGAAGCUUCUUAAAUCAUCAGAAAAUGGUGGGUGUUCCUAUCCUCGCUUGGGAAAGUGUGAUCAUUAUUAGUUUAAUUUUACAAGUUAAACCAUUAUUCUUCUUGUUAAAUUAUUUUAUAGUGCUGUAAAUAAGAAAUAAAUUAAAGACAAAUUAAAAAAAAACUUCAACUAUUUAAAAAUAAUUAAAAUAAAAGUAUGGCAUGUUAUUUCGUUUUAAAUUUAAUAAUAUAUUUAUUUUUCAGAAAAAGAAUAAACUAGAAAAAUCUAACUUUCUAGAAAAUAAAAAAUAUAUAUUUUAAAAUAAAUAUUAAUAAUGAUAGAAAUAAAUUUAAAUUUCUAUCAUUCUGAUCUUCAUCUUCUUGGUUCAAUUUAUCAUUGUGGUCACCAUCUUAGAUCAACACUUGACUUUUGAUGGAAUUAAUUUCUUUAUAGUUGAAAAUUUCCUAAACAAUUAUAAAAUUAUAAUAAAAACAGUAAUAGUACUUAGAAAAAAAAUAUAAAUUAUAAUUAAAAUUAAUAAUAACAUACAAUUAUGAUGCGGUCGUUGAAAGCACUAAAAAUAUUCUAUUCCUAAUAAAUAAUGAAAAAGAAUAGAAAAAGGGAAAUAAGGUUGAAUCCUCAGGGACUGGAUUUGCACAAUAUCUUAUUCCGUGAAAUCUCAGGCAGAAUUUUGCCCAAUAAAACUUAGGUUCCUAGAAAAAGAUAAAAAAAUAAUAGAAUUAUAGGUUUGAAUCUGGAAACGAAAAAUAAAAUAAAAACAGAAUAUUGAAUAUUGAAUUGAAAAUUCGAAAAAUUAAAAAUAGAGUUGAGAGAAAGGAAAUUCUUAUGGGAGAUUCCAGCCUCCAGUUGUCUCGUUUCACAUUGGGUUCAAUCCUCGGCUUUUAAAUGAUCCUUCCCAAACCGAAUAAGCCAGUUAUAAUGGAAGAGGACGCCUACAACCACCAGAUCCAAGGAUUUAGACUUACGAUUUAGUGGAACCUCACUCUAGCCAACAAGUCUUAUGCUAGAUCAACGCUUCUCAAUGGUGAAUCCCACCCCAUUUUGUCUCUUAGGCUCGCCAACCUCUAACGCAAUAAGCUAACGAACCGAUUGAGCAACUUUCCCAAAACAUACAAAGCGACCGCCUUUGCAUCCGUUGAAAAGCUUACUUCUUAAGGGACAUGGACGGAAGCGUCAGCCCCGUAGUGCAGAGAAACGAUGAAUACUCAGCGAGGAGGCUAAGUACGGACUCUAAGCCUCAAUAACCCUUUUUGGGUAAUAUCGACAAUUUUUGGCUAGAUGGGUUUAGUGGCUCAUAAUUGUGGUGGAAAUAUGAGAAGAACAAAAGCCUAAACUUUUGGGGAGAGAGUGUUUACAAAAAAAAAAAAGAUGGAUCCCUUUUGAGUCACUUCACCCCCUAUUUAUAGUGUUAGGGGAGAUAGUCUAAUCCUACUUAAACUCCCAAAAGAUAAAUAAAUUUAAUUGAAGAUAAAUAAAGAUAUAUAAAAUAAAAUUCUAAAAUUAAAUAAUCAUUAAUAAUUAUCUUAAUAUUAAUUAUCCUAAUAUAAUUAAAAUAGAGUCUGAUAGAAUAAAAUCUCUUCUUUUUGCAUUUCAACUCUUGUGUCCUUCAUGCUUGCACUUUUGGCACCAAUUUUUCCUUGUGUCGCACAUUGGCCCAUUUUAUCUCUAAAUUCACGCUUUUGGCCCUUAAUUUUGCUUUUGUCUCAAAUUUAGUCCCUAUGAGAUAAAAGAUCAUAAAUAGCUCAAAUUAGCAGGAUCAUACUCAGAAUAAAUACAUAAUUAAUACAUAAAAAUACGUUAUUCUAGAGUAUGGCAUGUUAUUUCGUUUUAAAUUUAAUAAUAUGUUUAUUUUUUCAGAAAAAGAAUAAACUAGAAAAAUCUAACUUUCUAGAAAAUAAAAAAUAUAUAUUUUAAAAUAAAUACUAAUAAUGAUACAAAUAAAUUUAAAUUUCUAUCAUUGUGGUCUUCAUUUUCUUGGUUCAAUUUAAAUUGUGGUCACCAUCUUAGAUCAACACUUGACUUUUGAUGGAAUUAAUUUCUUCAUAGUUGAAAAUUUCCUAAACAAUUAUAAAAUUAUAAUAAAAACAGUAAUAGUACUUAGAAAAAAAAAUAUAAAUUAUAAUUACAAUUAAUAAUAACGUUAAAAUUUUCACACUAAACAAGGGAAUAAAUUUAAAAUAAAUCUAAUAUAAUAAACUAAAUAAGGAUGAUGAAAUAAUAUCACAAUUUAGUCUUCUUAUUCAUCCACACUUGUUUUUCCUUCCUCGCAACAGAUGUGCCAUAAGGAGUGGGCACUUCGUUAGGCAUUGCGCCUCCAACAUAGAUCAUGCAAUAUCUUGAAUUAAUGAGGUCUUAUAUGACCAGGAGUACCACAAUAAUGGUAAAUCACCUUACGGGAAUGAACAGUCUUCUUGGAUAGCUUGAAAAACAUUGGCUUAGCUCUUUCACUUGCUUCCUUCAAACCAAAUGCUUUUACGAAGACUAUAGGACUUUCCAUUACAGCCUUCCCUUUAGCAACAAAACCUAAUCCUCCUUUGAUUGGUUCUUUUUUCCUAGCUGCUAAGAUCUCAUUGAGUUUGCUGCUUCUCGUAUUAAACUUUUUAAGCAUAAGUUUUGUACCAACAAGUUCCUUCUUCACCUUCACAAAGUUGUCAAGUUCCUCAGCAAUGAGUGAUUCGUUUGUUUCCGCCUGUUUAACCAACUUUGCAUUUUCAUCCUUCAACUGAUUAUUUUCCUUAACCAAUUGAGCAUUGAAGUCACAUACUUGCCCUCAUUUUCCUAACAUCACUUUAUAUGUCUAAAUUAAUCCAAACAUGAAAAGAACUAAUCUAAAAAGUUUCCAAAUUUUGAGUAUAUACCAAUACCUAGACCAGGUACUGAUACCAUUAUUAACUUCAAAGUCCCAAAAAUCAAAUUAAAAUCAAUAGAUAUUGAUACUUUCUUAUAAGAAUUUGAUACCUUAUCUUGGUAUCGAUAUCAUAUUGGCAUUUUGUUUGUUGGACAAAAUAUUUACAAACUCACUAGUAUCUACACUUGAAAUUUGAGUGUCAAUACUUAUUCUACAAGUAUCGAUACUUAAAUUUGGUAUCAAUUCCAUUUCAACAUUCUACCAACUUAAAAUACUAUUCAUUUGGUAAAGUACUGAUACUUUAAUUAAAAGUAUCAGUACUUUCUAGAAAUCUUGCAAAAAUGACCCUUUUGAAAACCAAUUCAUACCAAAGCUUAACUUAAACUCAUUUAUGCCUAUAGCACACUUCAGUCCUGCAAACAACCAAAUCAAACAUACAAUUUUACCACAAUCAUUCAUUUUCUCAAACCACAAUUUCCAAAGUUAACAAUUGGCAUCCAAACAUUGCACGUAAUCAUGCACAUUUCUUACCAAAUAAAUCAUACAAUUAUCCCAUAUCAUCAUGUUUUCAUACCAAAUCAUACCCACAAAUAUCAUUUAGAUGCCAUUCAAGACAUCUCGUUAAGCUAUCAUCCAAUCAUCACAUAUUGAACAAUUUUACACCAUUCUCAUAGCAUUAACCCAACCAUUCCAUAUUCAAAAUUUUGUCAUCAUACUCGCUUAUAUACAUAUAACAUGUAAGCAUCCAAAAUCAAAUAUCACAUAAGGCUCAAGUUCAUGAACAUUCAAAAUAACACCUAUGCAAUACGAAUUCCAUAUACAUGCCACAUAACUAAAUCCGAAACGAUUAAAAGCCUACCGUUGAUGGAUAUAUGCAACAUCGACAUUAGAGGCCAAGUAAGAACCUUAACCCCUCUUAGAAAUGAUAAAUCAGUAUUUUAACUUUUUUUGUGAAAACUUAUAAAAUUAUAAUUUAAUGUUAUGAUAAAUAUUAAAUUUUAACCUCUUAAAAUAUCAUAAUUCAAUUUCAAUCUUUAAUAUAAAUCUUUAGGUUCACCCGUACUAGAUUGUGAAUCAAAUUUCACCAAUAAAAAUAAAAGUAAAAGUAAAUAAACAAGUGAACAACAAACACUAUAUAUAAAAAUAAUAUAAUAAUAUAUCAAGCUAUCAUAUUUAUGUAUGCCAAAAUUGAAACAAAAGUAAAAGAAAAAUGUAAUUUGAAUUUUGGACACCCAAAAUGAUGCUGACAAUGACCAACAACAAUAAUAAGACUGAAUGAAUAAAUAAUACAUGCUAACAACACUGACCAAACAAAUAUACAAAUAAACAUAUAAAGAGAGAAUUAGAUAAUAGAAAUCAAGAUAGUCUAAACUUGAAAUGCUCUCUUUAUUAUUUAUUAUUUAUUAUUUAUUAUUUAUUAUGAGAUGAAAUCACCCCAUCAACUUAUGUAGGAAACAUGUCACCAUAGUACAGAGCUAUAGAUGCUUUAAAAAAAACAACAAAGUGAUGAUUCUGGUCAAAGUUAUCUUGUUGACACCUCCACUUUCACCUCCUGCAAAUUUUAAUGGAAAAUGGGAAAGAAAUUUACGAUGAAUUAGCACUAGGAAAAGGAAAUUCAUGCUAAUACCAAUAUAUGAUCACCUGUUUUUCACAUAUUUAUCCCCUAAAUUAGAUAACCCGAUUCAAUGUAUUGGGUUGAUUUUAAGUCCUUUAAGUUUUAAAAGCUUUAAAUAAAUUUAAAUUUAAAUCAAUUUUCAUCUUAAAUUAUUGAUAUUCAAGAUUAAUCAAGUUGAAUCAAAUUCAAAUUCAAUCAAUUAAAUUAAGUUUUUAUCUCAUGCCAAAUAAAAAUUUAAAAAAUAAUGAAAUUGUUUAUUGAAAAAAAAAAGCUUUGUUACCUGGUGAUGAGUGGAGCAGCCUUGGGAGAAGUAGCUAUAGCAACAAAACAUAAUCCAACAUAUAAACAAUUAGUUUCUAAUCAAAAUUAUGAAAAAUUCAACCAUAUCUUACAAAUAAAAGUUAAAAAGUACGAAGAAUAUGAAUCAAGAAUUGAAUAAAACAAAAGAAAAAAAUAAUUAAUAAAGUCAUUUUUUUUAAUUUCACAAAAUUUUAUAUUUUAUCUUUAUACUAAAACAUUAAAAGUUAUAUUAUCUUAUUUAUGUUAUAUUGAUAUAAUUGUAUGGUUUGUCAAUAAUAAAAUAUGGUGAGAUAAAUAAUUGAACUAAUAUUUUAAAUGUUUAAAAAUAAAAAUUAAGGUUGAAAAACUAGGUAAAGGUAAUUCAUUUUUUUUUUCAUUCGAACUGAUCUGUUGUAAAUACAACAAGAACAACAUUUAAAAGUUUAAUUUUACAGUAUCUCAUAGUGUAAUAUUUUCUACAAUUGAAAAUCGACAUUUCACAUCAAAUUUAAUGCUUACCACCAAACUUUAAACAUGUCUCCACGAUUUAUACUUGCUAUCGCCAAUAUUGAGGCCAUUUCAUUUCCUUUCUUAUUUGUCAUAAAGUAUACAACACUACCUACCUUCUCAAUUUUCCUCUCAAUAUCCACAAAUAUUGAUUGUAGUGACCAUGAUCUCAUGGGAUUCAUGCUAAUGCCAAAUACCAAUAUUUGAAUGUUUUCAUAUUUUUAUUCUUUACUUCCACCUCUCAAGUUAAUAGAUUAGAUUGGUUUUGAGUUAAAUCAAUUAAUUAAAGUCGGAUAAAUUCCGUUUUAAAAAUUUUAAAUCACUUUAAAUUUGAAUUAUUUUGGGUUUAAUUCACUUUAAAUUUUACCCUCUAAUUAAACUCAUUACAAUUUUUUUUUUGUUAAAUAUAUACAUUUUUUUUUUGCGUCCAAAGAAAAAGAAUAAAAAAGUUGCUUCGAAAAAAAUUUAAAGAUUGCUUUGUUACCUGAUGGGGAAGGAGCAGGGGUGAGAGUAGCUGUAGCAAGAACACAUAAUCAAAUCAUGGAUAAUUAGUUUCUCAUUAAAAAAAAUAUGAAUGAUUCAACUAUAUCUUACUAUUUAAAAAUAAAAGAAAAGAUAUAUAUGACGAUCCAGCUUUAGCUCAAUUCGAUUGUUGUUAUUUGAAGAAUCAAGAGAAUGGGAAUAUAAACGCCUUAAGGAAGUAUUAUAUUCCUAAUUAAAAAUUUAGUGAUUCUAAAUAGGAGGAGGAUGGAUUUGCAAAUUUUGAUGAGAACAACCACUGAAUUAAGAUUUUUAAAUAUCGGUCCAAUUUCUUUGUUUGAAUCAAUAUAGUAGCUGGUUUUCGGUUUUUUUAUGAAAUAAAAGAAGGUAUCAACCCUUUUUUUUCAUCCAAACAGAAAAACAAAGAGGUGAUGGCUAGAAACACUGACCGGGGAUGCAGCCGUUCAUCUUAUCAGUGACACCGCAGCCACGAGUGAUCCUAAGAGCUGCAGGGAUGGGGAUGUUGAUGUUGAAAGAACUAAGCAAAGUAGAGUUAUUAAUGAGGCUGCAAAGGCAAGUAAGUUCAGUAGCGACGGCUUGUCUGAGAGGGUUACAGCAAUCGCCUUUCAGUUGGAGAGUGGCGUUGUUGAAGUAAGGAGCACAAGACAUCAAGCUCUGCAAACAAGUCGGAUCCGCAGCCGUAAAUGUCGCUAUCUUCGUCCCCAAUAUCACAAGGACCGCCAUCAUCAACAUCUUUUGAGCCAUUGCGUUUUUCUCAAUUACUCUAAUUUCAAUCUGCGUGUAGAUGUUUUUCUUCUUCUGCCCUGCCCUCUCCUGGCUGCACUGCCAUUGCUUCUUAUAUACUAAUUUUUAUGGAGUCAUUUGGUCAGAGUUUAAAACAAGCAUUUGGUUCAAUACGGACAUAUUAUUUUUUAGAAUAGAAUAGAAAACAGUGCAAAGAACAAAUAUGAGCUGAAAAGGAGCGUUGGAGUCUGGAGAAGG
This 7699-nucleotide long non-coding RNA is filed under the name Gossypium raimondii (Peruvian cotton). RNAcentral's name for it is "long non-coding RNA (GRAI_LNC002419)". Lineage: Eukaryota; Viridiplantae; Streptophyta; Magnoliopsida; Malvales; Malvaceae. The record is from RNAcentral.